GCCACAAUUUCUCAACUCCCACAAUCACUUCUAAAAUACCCCGACCCAAACAUAAGCCUUUAAACCUCCAAACCCUUUCUACUUCUUCAUUUUCACACCAUUAGCAAACAAAGCAGCCCCAAUUUCACUCUCGAUGACGCCGUCUCCUUUGAAAUCCUAUCCAUGUUACCAUCCAGAUCUGGGAAAACCCAAUGAAAACUCACCUUGUACGAUGAAGGACUUGUCAAAAGUUGGAUUUCUUCAUACGCAUCUUACGAACUUUGGUUGUCCAAAAGCUUGUUUCGACGGACGAUCUCAAAAUGGUAUUUCUUCACUUUCUUUUUUACCUUUUAAACACUUCAUUUUGAAUUUUCGUACAAAACUUCUACUGGAAGAGUUUUUCUGAACGGAUUUAUAAGUCCAAAUCUGCCCCAAAUUGAUUGUUUUUUAUUCGAAUCCUAGAAUUGCGUAUUAUUUUCAUUCCAAACAACAGUAUCUAAGGUCAAGAACAAUGUUAUUACAGAGUGGGCAUAAAAAAUUGUCUGACCUAAAAAUCUUUCACUCUUCCUUUAAUUUUCUUUCAUGUAUACAAUUCGUGAUUUGCUGUGGGGGUGAUCAUCAAGCUCGGUGUCUCAAUUUGGUGCCCUAGAGAGGUAGUAGCUGUUCUGUUUGAAGUAUGCCUAAAAAAUAAUGAUGUACCUUUCUAUGGAACAAUAUAAAGGAGUAACACUUGCUGAGGAGCUGAGAGGUUGUUACUUGCAUUCAAGGUGGAAUUUAUUUUAGACAAGGAACAUUUUUUUUAUGUUUAAUGUGCUUUUCAUGUGUAUGCACAAUUACUCUAUGCUAUGAGUUAUGAAAGUUUCCAGUAUCAUUGUUUGGGAAAUAUCUCUAGUUGUCACUUUUAUUUUCAAUAGGUUGUUGACUUGUGUAAUAUAUUGUGCAAGUAUAAUUAAAAAUAUUAUGGCUGCA
Molecule: long non-coding RNA, 948 nt
Organism: Solanum tuberosum (potato)
Lineage: Eukaryota; Viridiplantae; Streptophyta; Magnoliopsida; Solanales; Solanaceae
Exons: 2
Source: RefSeq, a predicted model, not a curated record